UGCAUGUCUAAGUUCACACUGUCUCACGGUGACACCGCGAAUGGCUCAUUAAAUCAGUCGAGGUUUACUAGAUGAAAACUAUCCUACUUGGAUAACUGUGGCAAUUCUAGAGCUAAUACAUGCUAACCAAGCUCCGACCCUCGCGGAAAGAGCGCUUUUAUUAGUUCAAAACCAAUCGCCGUUGCCCCUUCGCGGGGGCGCGGCGUCCCGAUUGGUGACUCUGGAUAACUUUGUGCUGAUCGCAUGGCCUUUGCGCUGGCGACGCAUCUUUCAAAUGUCUGCCCUAUCAAAUGUCGAUGGUACGUGAUAUGCCUACCAUGUUUGUAACGGGUAACGGGGAAUCAGGGUUCGAUUCCGGAGAGGGAGCAUGAGAAACGGCUACCACAUCCAAGGAAGGCAGCAGGCGCGCAACUUACCCACUCCCGGCACGGGGAGGUAGUGACGAAAAAUAACAAUACGGGACUCUUUCGAGGCCCCGUAAUUGGAAUGAGUACACUUUAAACCCUUUAACGAGGAUCAAUUGGAGGGCAAGUCUGGUGCCAGCAGCCGCGGUAAUUCCAGCUCCAAUAGCGUAUAUUAAAGUUGUUGCAGUUAAAAAGCUCGUAGUUGGAUCUCAGGCGCAGGCGGGCGGUCCGGCUCGCGCCGGCUCACUGCCCGUUGUCUCCUGCCCUACCCGUCUGCCGGCUCUCUCCCGCGGGUGCUCUUCGCUGAGCGUCCCGGGUGGCCGGCGCGUUUACUUUGAAAAAAUUAGAGUGUUCAAAGCAGGCCGAGCUGCCUGAAUAAUGGUGCAUGGAAUAAUGGAAUAGGACCUCGGUUCUAUUUUGUUGGUUUUCGGAACUGGAGGUAAUGAUUAACAGGGACAAACGGGGGCAUUCGUAUUGCGGCGUUAGAGGUGAAAUUCUUGGAUCGCCGCAAGACGAACUACUGCGAAAGCAUUUGUCAAGAAUGUUUUCAUUAGUCAAGAACGAAAGUCAGAGGCGCGAAGACGAUCAGAUACCGUCGUAGUUCUGACCAUAAACUAUGCCACCUGGCCAUCCGCAGGAGUUGCUUCGAUGACUCUGCGGGCGGCCUCCGGGAAACCAAAGGUUUUGGGUUCCGGGGGAAGUAUGGGUGCAAAGCUGAAACUUAAAGGAAUUGACGGAAGGGCACCACCAGGAGUGGAGCCUGCGGCUUAAUUUGACUCAACACGGGAAAACUCACCCGGUCCGGACACUGUAAGGAUUGACAGAUUGAUAGCUCUUUCUUGAUUCGGUGGGUGGUGGUGCAUGGCCGUUCUUAGUUGGUGGAGCGAUUUGUCUGGUUAAUUCCGAUAACGAACGAGACUCUAGCCUAUUAAAUAGUUCGCCGGUUCCUCGAUGCGCCGGCGCAACUUCUUAGAGGGACGAGUGGCGUUUAGCCACACGAGAUUGAGCAAUAAC
Molecule: ribosomal RNA, 1418 nt
Filed under: Protancylus adhaerens
Lineage: Eukaryota; Metazoa; Mollusca; Gastropoda; Protancylidae
Description: SSU rRNA
Rfam family: Eukaryotic small subunit ribosomal RNA
Source: RNAcentral